GCCGUGUCUCUGUGGUUGAGCCUCUGCCUGGCGUGCUGAAGUUCCUGGGUUCAAUCCCAGCAUCUCCA
RNAcentral lists this transfer RNA (68 nucleotides) under Sphaerodactylus townsendi. RNAcentral's name for it is "tRNA-Ala". Lineage: Eukaryota; Metazoa; Chordata; Lepidosauria; Squamata; Sphaerodactylidae. The record is from RNAcentral.